RNAcentral lists this ribosomal RNA (429 nucleotides) under Chloroflexota bacterium. RNAcentral's name for it is "Chloroflexi bacterium partial 16S ribosomal RNA". It matches the Rfam family "Bacterial small subunit ribosomal RNA", at positions 355 to 776 of the family's 1533-position model. The record is from RNAcentral. Lineage: Bacteria; Bacillati; Chloroflexota.
UGGGGAAUAUUGCACAAUGGGCGCAAGCCUGAUGCAGCCAUGCCGCGUGUAUGAAGAAGGCCUUCGGGUUGUAAAGUACUUUCAGCGGGGAGGAAGGGAGUAAAGUUAAUACCUUUGCUCAUUGACGUUACCCGCAGAAGAAGCACCGGCUAACUCCGUGCCAGCAGCCGCGGUAAUACAGAGGGUGCAAGCGUUAAUCGGAAUUACUGGGCGUAAAGCGCACGCAGGCGGUUUGUUAAGUCAGAUGUGAAAUCCCCGGGCUCAACCUGGGAACUGCAUCUGAUACUGGCAAGCUUGAGUCUCGUAGAGGGGGGUAGAAUUCCAGGUGUAGCGGUGAAAUGCGUAGAGGUCUGGAGGAAUACCGGUGGCGAAGGCGGCCCCCUGGACGAAGACUGACGCUCAGGUGCGAAAGCGUGGGGAGCAAACAGG